CUGGUCGGGCUGCCUGUUGUAGUCGGCGCCGCGGUCGGGAGCCCCUCCGUGCUCCGAAGCGCGACUGCAGCGGUAGGCUGCUCUGUGGUCUGGGGGGCCGUAUCUUCAGCAGCGCGGACUGGCUCGCCCGUCCCCUGGCUGGCAGCCUGGCCGGGGUCGACAUCCGACGCCGCACUACAGGAACAAAAGUGUAAUUUCAAAAAAAAAAAAAUCAAAUUGGAGUCCAAAAUACGUAUGUCGAACACUUACAGGUCUGAUCGACGGUGGGUGGCGGUGAACCUCCUCCUCGCCCGGCC
This 296-nucleotide long non-coding RNA is filed under the name Sorghum bicolor (sorghum). RNAcentral describes it as "long non-coding RNA (SBIC_LNC014233)". The record is from RNAcentral. Lineage: Eukaryota; Viridiplantae; Streptophyta; Magnoliopsida; Poales; Poaceae.